GAUCUUGGCUCAGGAUGAACGCUAGCUACAGGCUUAACACAUGCAAGUCGAGGGGCAGCAUGAACUUAGCUUGCUAAGUUUGAUGGCGACCGGNGCACGGGUGAGUAACACGUAUCUAACCUUCCGUUUACUCAGGGGAUAGCCUUUCGAAAGAAAGAUUAAUACCUGAUAGUAUGGUGAGAUUGCAUGAUAACACCAUUAAAGAUUUAUUGGUAAACGAUGGGGAUGCGUUCCAUUAGGUAG
Molecule: ribosomal RNA, 243 nt
Filed under: uncultured bacterium
Lineage: Bacteria
Description: partial 16S ribosomal RNA
Rfam family: Bacterial small subunit ribosomal RNA
Source: RNAcentral